GGGCGCGUGGUGAAAUGGCAGACACGCUGGAUUUAGGUUCCAGUUCCGAAAGGAGUGGGGGUUCAAGUCCCCCCGCGCCCACCA
Molecule: transfer RNA, 84 nt
Filed under: Kiritimatiellia bacterium
Lineage: Bacteria; Pseudomonadati; Kiritimatiellota; Kiritimatiellia
Description: Kiritimatiellae bacterium (gut metagenome) tRNA-Leu
Rfam family: tRNA
About the family: Transfer RNA (tRNA) molecules are approximately 80 nucleotides in length.
Source: RNAcentral